GAUGAACGCUGGCGGCAUGCCUAAUACAUGCAAGUCGAGCGAACAGAUGAGGAGCUUGCUCCUCUGACGUGAGCGGCGGACGGGUGAGGAACACGUGGAUGACCUACCUAGAAGACUGGGGUAAGUUCGGGAAACCGGAGCUAAUACCGGAUAAUAUGGUGAACCGCGUGGAUCAUUAGAGAAAGAGGGUUUUGCUGUCACUUGCACAGGGAUCCGCGCCGCAUUAGCUAGUUGGUAAGGUAACGGCGUACCAAGGCUACGAUGCGUAGCCGACCUGAGAGGGUGAUCGGCCACACUGGAACUGAGACACGGUCCAGACUCCUACGGGAGGCAGCAGUAGGGAAUCUUCCGCAAAGGGCGAAAGCCUGACGGAGCAACGCCGCGUGAGUGAUGAAGGUCUUCGGAUCGUAAAGCUCUGUUAUUAGGGAAGAACAAAUGUGUAAGUAACUAUGCACGUCUUGACGGUACCUAAACAGAAAGCCCCGGCUAACUACGUG
RNAcentral lists this ribosomal RNA (497 nucleotides) under uncultured bacterium. RNAcentral describes it as "partial 16S ribosomal RNA". It matches the Rfam family "Bacterial small subunit ribosomal RNA", at positions 28 to 507 of the family's 1533-position model. The record is from RNAcentral.